UACGAAGGGGGCUAGCGUUGCUCGGAAUCACUGGGCGUAAAGCGCACGUAGGCGGAUCUUUAAGUCAGGGGUGAAAUCCCGGAGCUCAACUCCGGAACUGCCUUUGAUACUGGAGAUCUUGAGUCCGGGAGAGGUGAGUGGAACUGCGAGUGUAGAGGUGAAAUUCGUAGAUAUUCGCAAGAACACCAGUGGCGAAGGCGGCUGACUGGUCCGGUUCUGACGCUGAGGCGCGAAAGCGUGGGGAGCAAACAGG
This 253-nucleotide ribosomal RNA is filed under the name uncultured bacterium. RNAcentral describes it as "partial 16S ribosomal RNA". It matches the Rfam family "Bacterial small subunit ribosomal RNA", at positions 524 to 776 of the family's 1533-position model. The record is from RNAcentral.